RNAcentral lists this ribosomal RNA (253 nucleotides) under uncultured bacterium. Its description in RNAcentral is "partial 16S ribosomal RNA". It matches the Rfam family "Bacterial small subunit ribosomal RNA", at positions 524 to 776 of the family's 1533-position model. The record is from RNAcentral.
CACGUAGGAGGCGAGCGUUGUCCGGAAUCAUUGGGCGUAGAGAGCUCGUAGGCGGUUCGUCGCGUCGGCUGUGAAAACCCGGAGCUCAACUCCGGGCCUGCAGUCGAUACGGGCGGACUUGAGUGUUGCAGGGGAGACUGGAAUUCCUGGUGUAGCGGUGAAAUGCGCAGAUAUCAGGAGGAACACCGGUGGCGAAGGCGGGUCUCUGGGCAACUACUGACGCUGAGGAGCGAAAGCGUGGGGAGCGAACAGG